This 429-nucleotide ribosomal RNA is filed under the name Acidobacteriota bacterium. RNAcentral describes it as "Acidobacteria bacterium partial 16S ribosomal RNA". It matches the Rfam family "Bacterial small subunit ribosomal RNA", at positions 355 to 776 of the family's 1533-position model. The record is from RNAcentral. Lineage: Bacteria; Pseudomonadati; Acidobacteriota.
UGGGGAAUUUUGGACAAUGGGGGAAACCCUGAUCCAGCCAUCCCGCGUGUGCGAUGAAGGCCUUCGGGUUGUAAAGCACUUUUGGCAGGAAAGAAACGUCAUGGGUUAAUACCCCGUGAAACUGACGGUACCUGCAGAAUAAGCACCGGCUAACUACGUGCCAGCAGCCGCGGUAAUACGUAGGGUGCAAGCGUUAAUCGGAAUUACUGGGCGUAAAGCGUGCGCAGGCGGUUCGGAAAGAAAGAUGUGAAAUCCCAGAGCUCAACUUUGGAACUGCAUUUUUAACUACCGGGCUAGAGUGUGUCAGAGGGAGGUGGAAUUCCGCGUGUGGCAGUGAAAUGCGUAGAUAUGCGGAGGAACACCGAUGGCGAAGGCAGCCUCCUGGGAUGACACUGACGCUCAUGCACGAAAGCGUGGGGAGCAAACAGG